RNAcentral lists this unclassified non-coding RNA (430 nucleotides) under Hevea brasiliensis (rubber tree). The record is from RNAcentral. Lineage: Eukaryota; Viridiplantae; Streptophyta; Magnoliopsida; Malpighiales; Euphorbiaceae.
GAAAUUCCUUGCUUUGAAUAAUACAUACAGAACAAGGAGAAAGGGUAGUCUGAGUUUAAUUUUGUGGCCGGAGUUGUAUUUAUGUCGAAUUAAUUUAUGUGGGUGUUUUUUUGUUUUCGAUAAAUUUUCAGAGAAUUAUUGAAAAUGGGGUCGUUAGGAAUGUCGAUUGAUGAGAUUGUGCAAGAAAUUAUGAGAAUUCAUGGAUCUCUACCGACAAGACCAUCGAUUGAUGAGGUUGAAGCAGCAAGAGCUUUAAUUGGAAAUCUGGAGAAAGAAGAUCAGUUGAAAAUAGAAGCUAUCAUGAGGCAAAAUAAAAGGAAAGGUGUUCCAGAAGAGCUAUUCAAAAUUUUGCAAGAGAUGCAGAGGAACGCUCUUCUUUUUCAGAGUAAAGAACAAAAGAGGGAGGCCUUGAAACUUUUAGAUCUCGAGA